RNAcentral lists this ribosomal RNA (253 nucleotides) under uncultured bacterium. RNAcentral describes it as "partial 16S ribosomal RNA". It matches the Rfam family "Bacterial small subunit ribosomal RNA", at positions 524 to 776 of the family's 1533-position model. RNAcentral also lists the same sequence under 1 other name. The record is from RNAcentral.
UACGUAGGGUGCGAGCGUUAAUCGGAAUUACUGGGCGUAAAGCGUGCGCAGGCGGUUGGCUGUGUCCUGUGUGAAAGCCCCGGGCUCAACCUGGGAAUGGCAUGGGAAACUGGCUGGCUGGAGUGUGGCAGAGGGGGGUGGAAUUCCGCGUGUAGCAGUGAAAUGCGUAGAGAUGCGGAGGAACACCGAUGGCGAAGGCAGCCCCCUGGGCCAACACUGACGCUCAGGCACGAAAGCGUGGGGAGCAAACAGG